UCAGUAGUAGUUCGUGGUAGAAUUCUCGCCUUCUGUGCGGGAGACCCAGGUUCGAUUCCCAGCCACUGCA
Molecule: transfer RNA, 70 nt
Filed under: Loxodonta africana (African savanna elephant)
Lineage: Eukaryota; Metazoa; Chordata; Mammalia; Proboscidea; Elephantidae
Rfam family: tRNA
About the family: Transfer RNA (tRNA) molecules are approximately 80 nucleotides in length. Their secondary structure includes four short double-helical elements and three loops (D, anti-codon, and T loops). Further hydrogen bonds mediate the characteristic L-shaped molecular structure. tRNAs have two regions of fundamental functional importance: the anti-codon, which is responsible for specific mRNA codon recognition, and the 3' end, to which the tRNAs corresponding amino acid is attached (by aminoacyl-tRNA synthetases). tRNAs cope with the degeneracy of the genetic code in two manners: having more than one tRNA (with a specific anti-codon) for a particular amino acid; and 'wobble' base-pairing, i.e. permitting non-standard base-pairing at the 3rd anti-codon position.
Source: Rfam by way of RNAcentral